RNAcentral lists this ribosomal RNA (607 nucleotides) under Alternaria sp. E14. RNAcentral's name for it is "eukaryotic LSU rRNA". The stretch from base 238 to 391 matches the Rfam family "5.8S ribosomal RNA". Lineage: Eukaryota; Fungi; Ascomycota; Dothideomycetes; Pleosporales; Pleosporaceae. The record is from RNAcentral.
UUCUCUUUGGUCAUUAGAGGAAGUAAAAGUCGUAACAAGGUCUCCGUAGGUGAACCUGCGGAGGGAUCAUUACACAGGUAUGAUGGUGGGCUGGAACCUCUCGGGGUUACAGCCUUGCUGAAUUAUUCACCCUUGUCUUUUGCGUACUUCUUGUUUCCUUGGUGGGUUCGCCCACCACUAGGACAAACAUAAACCUUUUGUAAUUGCAAUCAGCGUCAGUAACAAAUUAAUAAUUACAACUUUCAACAACGGAUCUCUUGGUUCUGGCAUCGAUGAAGAACGCAGCGAAAUGCGAUAAGUAGUGUGAAUUGCAGAAUUCAGUGAAUCAUCGAAUCUUUGAACGCACAUUGCGCCCUUUGGUAUUCCAAAGGGCAUGCCUGUUCGAGCGUCAUUUGUACCCUCAAGCUUUGCUUGGUGUUGGGCGUCUUGUCUCUAGCUUUGCUGGAGACUCGCCUUAAAGUAAUUGGCAAGCCGGCCUACUGGUUUCGGAGCGCAGCACAAGGGUCGAAUACUCUCUAUCAGCAAAGGUCUAGCAUCCAUUAAGCCUUUUUUUCAACUUUUGACCUCGGAUCAGGUAGGGAUACCCGCUGAACUUAAGCAUAUCAUA